GGUUGGUUUGCUGUUAGGUUUCUGUCCCAUUGAUGUUAACCCAUUUCCUACUUUCCUAAAGGUUUACACAAUAUAAACAAAAGGAUUUCAUUUGUUUGUGAUGCAAAAAAGUGCUAAGAAUCAUAUAUUCAUGAUAUUAGCUAACAAUUAAAUACUUCAAUAUUUAUUGGGACCAUCAGGGCAAGUAACUUUUUUUCCGGACAAGUGAAAUUUACUGUUUUACUUGCCCAGGGACAAGUACUCACAACAAAUAUUUCCACACCCCUG
RNAcentral lists this long non-coding RNA (267 nucleotides) under Mytilus galloprovincialis (Mediterranean mussel). The record is from RNAcentral. Lineage: Eukaryota; Metazoa; Mollusca; Bivalvia; Mytilida; Mytilidae.